RNAcentral lists this ribosomal RNA (505 nucleotides) under uncultured bacterium. Its description in RNAcentral is "partial 16S ribosomal RNA". It matches the Rfam family "Bacterial small subunit ribosomal RNA", at positions 28 to 507 of the family's 1533-position model. The record is from RNAcentral.
GACGAACGCUGGCGGCGUGCCUAAUACAUGCAAGUAGAACGCACAGUUUAUACCGUAGCUUGCUACACCAUAGACUGUGAGUUGCGAACGGGUGAGUAACGCGUAGGUAACCUGCCUGGUAGCGGGGGAUAACUAUUGGAAACGAUAGCUAAUACCGCAUAAUAUUGAUUAUUGCAUGAUAAUUGAUUGAAAGAUGCUAUUGCAUCACUACCAGAUGGACCUGCGUUGUAUUAGCUAGUAGGUGAGGUAACGGCUCACCUAGGCGACGAUACAUAGCCGACCUGAGAGGGUGAUCGGCCAAAAUGGGACUGGGACACGGCCCAGACCCCUACGGGGGGCAGCAGUAGGGAAUCUUCGGAAAUGGACGAAAGGCUGACCGAGCAACGACGCGUGAGUGAAGAAGGGUUUCGGAUCGUAAAGCUCUGUUGUAAGAGAAGAACGGGUGUGAGAGUGGAAAGUUCACACUGUGACGGUAUCUUACCAGAAAGGGACGGCUAACUACGUG